Long non-coding RNA from Ornithodoros turicata, 620 nucleotides. RefSeq lists it as uncharacterized. The record is from RefSeq and is a predicted model, not a curated record. The transcript has 2 exons. Lineage: Eukaryota; Metazoa; Arthropoda; Arachnida; Ixodida; Argasidae.
CUGCACUAUGAUAUGACACUAAGGAAAGCAUAGUGGCUCGUGGCUCCGUUUGUACUUUUACAUGUUUCCACAAGCAAGAUGGAAGUGCGUAUGGCUGGUGUGGCCUCACAGCCUGCCCUGACCUGCCUGUCCGGCGUGUAGACUACAUUAGCCCAUAGCCAUAGCCAUAGGGCGAUAGGGCCUGCAGGAACGCAUAGUGGAAAUGGAAGGACAGAAGGUACAGAAGAUUUUCAUGUAAACGUUAAAUCGACGUAGUUAGCAGAGGGGUCAAAGAUUUCUGUUGUUCUGCAGCAUGCGACAUUGAAGAACUGCCAACUUGCCAACGCUGCAAAAUAAUCAUGGGAUGGCGUGAGCAACUACGAAGUCCAAGCAUCAUUGUAUUCGUGGUGGGCAUGAGUGCAGUUUAUUAUGGAUGGCUGAAGAUCAUAGACAAUGAAGAGUUUGUGCCAAAAGCGGAGAAGCCCACACCUCCACACAUGGCAUUGUAUAACUUCAUUACUGGGAAGUCUGGUUCUACAGCCACGGGACAUUCACCAAAGAAGUCUGAAUGAGCACUUCUCGUACUGUACUGUUAAAUGUAGGCACUGCGUAAACAAAAUAUAAGUAAUGUGUUGUCAGUA